This is a long non-coding RNA of Stegostoma tigrinum, 2078 nucleotides long. RefSeq lists it as uncharacterized. The record is from RefSeq and is a predicted model, not a curated record. The transcript is spliced from 4 exons. Lineage: Eukaryota; Metazoa; Chordata; Chondrichthyes; Orectolobiformes; Stegostomatidae.
CGCUGCCAUCGAGGAGCAUUUACUCAGUGAGUGGAAGAGGUUUGUUUGAAAGACACCAGCGCCCAGGGAAGCGAGGGAACAGCAGGCUCCUUCUAGCAACGCAUCGAGAUGCAAAUACUUGAAGGACCAGGAUGAUGUUGUAUUUCCUCGGUGCAAAGCCAAGUCUGACCAGUUACUUCUAAUAAUCAGCAGAAUGUGACCAGCUCUGCCAAGGUGGCAAGUGGAUGACAGUCUCAAAAUGUCCUUGAAUGGAUUGACUUGCUUGGCCUGAAGGCAAUGAAGAGUUCACAAAAGGGUAGGAGUCAUGUACAGAGCAGACCCGGAAUAACCAACUAGUUCACUAAUGCCCUUUCGAGAAGCAAAUCUGCCAUCAAUACUUGGUCUGGCCUGCACGUGACUCGAGAUGCACCGCAAUGUGGUUGACUCUUCACUGCCCUCUGUGCAAUUAGGCAUGGGCAAUGAGUGCCGUCCCCAGCCAGCACCACUCACAGCCCAAGAAAAUCUGAAGAGAUAAUGGGAUGGAAUAUCAAGGUGGCAGGUUAGUCGUCCGUUUUAAUGCAACACAAAAAAUAAUGCGGAUAAAAUGAAGAUUGGCCGGGUGAUUGACAGUGAGGAGAAGGUGUCAGUUUACAGGACAAUUGGUCAGAUGGGGUUGAACCCUGAUAAAUGGGAGGUGAUGCACUUUGGCAGAAGGAAGACAAGGAAGUACUGAAUGAAAGGCAGGGCACUACAAAGCUCAGAGGAACAGAAGGAUGUGAGGGUGUUUGUACACAGAUCCCUGAAGGUGGCAGGACAUGUUGAUAGGGCAGUUAAGAAGGCACAUGGGACACUUGCCUUUAUCAGUCAAGGUACAGAUUGUGAGAGCAAAGAGGUGAUGUUGGAGCUGGACAGGACUUUGGUGAGACUUCAGCUGGAGCACUGUGUGCAGUUCCAGUCUCCAGACUAUAGGAAGGAUGUGAUUGCACUGGAGGGGGUGCCGAGGAAAUUCACUAAAAUGUUGCCUGGGAUGGAGAAUUUAAACAAUGAAGAGAGGUUGGAUAGGCUCGAGAUGUUUGGAGUAGAGAAGGCUGAGGAUAGGCCUGACAGAGGUAGUGUAAGGUUAUGAGGGGCAUUUACAGGAGGGAUAGGAAGCUGCUGGUGCCCUUGGUUGAAGGGUCAAUAAUAAAUGUGGGUAAGGGCAGGAGGUUUCGGGGGAGAUUUGAGAAUUGCUUCACCCAGAGAAUGAUGGGAGUCUGAAAAGCAUGACUUUGGAGGAUAUUUCAGGUGAGACACUGAAAUAAACUCUACAAUGUUCUUGGUCAACCAACUGUUAUGUCAUAGUAUUUAAGACUGUUAUCCUUGGUGGGGGGGAAGUAGGAUUAGUUUAGCUAGGUUCGUGCAGAUUGAUGGGCUGAAGAGUCUCUUCUGUACCAUCUAUAACUACAGCUCUAUGACUCAUUCGCUUGAGUAAAGGGGAGAGAAGCUAAACUAACUUGAAAGUGAAAGUAGGUGAUUGAUUCUGCUCAACAGGAUCUCGCUCUCUGUGUCAUAACAGUGAGCACACGGUGGGAGAUGGUGAAGCUGGUUUUCCACUGCUUCUAUCAUCACCUGAGCCCUCAGCAAUGUUUGGGAUGUGACAGGGAGUACAACAUGACCCUGGAAAGGACUUGGCCAAAUAUCAGAAGAGGCCCAGUUUAGAAUGAGGCCCAGUGGAGGAUGUGGGCCAGUAUGGGACGUAACCCAGUGCACAACAUGUCCCAGUGUAGGAUCUUCUUUUAACUUAGCAUGUGGCUCAGUGUAGGAAGUUUCUUAGUGUAGGAUGUGUCUCAGUUUAACAUGAGGCCCAGGUUAGAAAAUUUCCAAAUUUCAAAUGUUUCGCAGUGUGGAUGUGGCCCAAUUUAUGAUGUGGCAACACAGUGUGGAGAUGGAGGAACACCACAGGCCAGGCAGCAUCAGAGGAGCAGAAAAGUUGACUUUUUGGGUUGGGACCCUUCUUCAGAAAUUGGGCAGGUUUAGGGAGCUGGAAAUAAAUAAAGAUAGAAGGGAUGGGAUUUGGGAAAGGUAAGAGGGAUGGUGAUGGUUUGAUGCAGGUCGGGAGU